RNAcentral lists this ribosomal RNA (543 nucleotides) under Cryptotermes brevis. RNAcentral's name for it is "SSU rRNA". It matches the Rfam family "Eukaryotic small subunit ribosomal RNA", at positions 70 to 600 of the family's 1831-position model. Lineage: Eukaryota; Metazoa; Arthropoda; Insecta; Blattodea; Kalotermitidae. The record is from RNAcentral.
CUCCGCUUAAGGUGAACCGCGAAUGGCUCAUUAAAUCAGUUAUGGUUCCUUAGAUGGUGGACAGUUACUUGGAUAACUGUGGUAAUUCUAGAGCUAAUACAUGCAACAGAGUCCCGACCGGAGACGGAAGGGACGCUUUUAUUAGAUCAAAACCAAUCGGUCGCUCCGGCGGCCGUUUGCCUUGGUGACUCUGAAUAAAUGGAGGCGGAUCGCACGGUCUCCGAACCGGCGACGCAUCUUUCAAAUGUCUGCCUUAUCAACUGUCGAUGGUAGGCUCUGCGCCUACCAUGGUUGUAACGGGUAACGGGGAAUCAGGGUUCGAUUCCGGAGAGGGAGCCUGAGAAACGGCUACCACAUCCAAGGAAGGCAGCAGGCGCGCAAAUUACCCACUCCCGGCACGGGGAGGUAGUGACGAAAAAUAACGAUGCGGGACUCAUCCGAGGCCCCGUAAUCGGAAUGAGUACACUCUAAAGACUUUGACCAGUAUCCAUUGGAGGGGGGCUCUGGGGGUGCCACCCGCGGGGGUUCCUGCUCCGAUAUCGU